Molecule: microRNA, 23 nt
Filed under: Cordylochernes scorpioides
Lineage: Eukaryota; Metazoa; Arthropoda; Arachnida; Pseudoscorpiones; Chernetidae
Source: RNAcentral
CAAAACUGUUGUACUAGACUUGG